UCAGGCCUGCUGGAGGCAGCACAGGGUAGCAGAAAAAGCCACAGGACACAGGGUUCAGAGGCCCUGUGCUUACAUCACCUGCGCAGUGGCUUCAGCGAAAGUCCUGACUUCUGUGAGAUUGUUUCCUCAUCUGAAAAAUGGAGAUCUGAUUGCCACUGGGUCCAAAUUCUUUGCAUGGCAUUCAAAGCUCUUCCCAUCUGGCCACCGCAAGAUCACUGAUUCAUAUUUAUUGAGCACCUGCCAUGUACAAAUUCUCCUGGGAUCUGUGGGAAGCCGGAUGACUGCCAGCCCCGCCAUUCAUACUGACUGGAGUGAGAGAAGGAGUCUGGAAUUGAAUUUUGAUAGAGGCUGUCCUUUUUACUUGGAUGGAUUCCUGCACCUUGCCUCGCUUCAGCACUUCUUUGGAUUUUUAACAUGAGUCUCAAUAGUCCCAUCUUUGAAAUGAAGAGUUAGACAGUUGGUCUCCAGAAUGCUUUCCAGCUUCAGUACUCCUGGAUCCCAUGCCUGAAGAGGACACAGAGCAGGUCAGUUUUGAUGAUUCCUCCAGAAGAUGAGUCACCCCGCGCUCAAACCUUUCUUUAUAAUCAGUUCAUACAUCAUCAACUUAAUGAGCCUGGAGCAGGAAAGAGUCUUCUCCCAGAGCUCCGCAGCAGACGUAUCAAACCCUUAACAACAGUGAUGGUGAGGUUGAUGGGAAAAGUCAGAGCAGCAGACAACUUCUGCAGGGUGCAAGGACCAAAGUUGAUGACAUUUAUUUUUCCCAGAAACAACAAGCCUUGCCUACAACCCAUGUUUUCAUAUGAAUAAAGUCUCACUGAAUCCGUAGUGAACUUGCCUGCGGCUGAAACACAUUGGCAAGACAAGAAGAUUCACAGAAAGCCAUGUGAUGAGCACAUUUGGUAAUAACAGACAACU
Molecule: long non-coding RNA, 915 nt
Organism: Manis javanica (Malayan pangolin)
Lineage: Eukaryota; Metazoa; Chordata; Mammalia; Pholidota; Manidae
Source: RefSeq, a predicted model, not a curated record